AGAGUUUGAUCAUGGCUCAGGACGAACGCUGGCGGCGUGCCUAAUACAUGCAAGUCGAGCGAGCUUGCCUAGAUGAUUUUAGUGCUUGCACUAAAUGAAACUAGAUACAAGCGAGCGGCGGACGGGUGAGUAACACGUGGGUAACCUGCCCAAGAGACUGGGAUAACACCUGGAAACAGAUGCUAAUACCGGAUAACAACACUAGACGCAUGUCUAGAGUUUGAAAGAUGGUUCUGCUAUCACUCUUGGAUGGACCUGCGGUGCAUUAGCUAGUUGGUAAGGUAACGGCUUACCAAGGCAAUGAUGCAUAGCCGAGUUGAGAGACUGAUCGGCCACAUUGGGACUGAGACACGGCCCAAACUCCUACGGGAGGCAGCAGUAGGGAAUCUUCCACAAUGGACGAAAGUCUGAUGGAGCAACGCCGCGUGAGUGAAGAAGAGUUUCGGCUCGUAAAGCUCUGUUGGUAGUGAAGAAAGAUAGAGGUAGUAACUGGCCUUUAUUUGACGGUAAUUACUUAGAAAGUCACGGCUAACUACGUGCCAGCAGCCGCGGUAAUACGUAGGUGGCAAGCGUUGUCCGGAUUUAUUGGGCGUAAAGCGAGUGCAGGCGGUUCAAUAAGUCUGAUGUGAAAGCCUUCGGCUCAACCGGAGAAUUGCAUCAGAAACUGUUGAACUUGAGUGCAGAAGAGGAGAGUGGAACUCCAUGUGUAGCGGUGGAAUGCGUAGAUAUAUGGAAGAACACCAGUGGCGAAGGCGGCUCUCUGGUCUGCAACUGACGCUGAGGCUCGAAAGCAUGGGUAGCGAACAGGAUUAGAUACCCUGGUAGUCCAUGCCGUAAACGAUGAGUGCUAAGUGUUGGGAGGUUUCCGCCUCUCAGUGCUGCAGCU
RNAcentral lists this ribosomal RNA (886 nucleotides) under uncultured bacterium. RNAcentral's name for it is "bacterial SSU rRNA". It matches the Rfam family "Bacterial small subunit ribosomal RNA", at positions 8 to 853 of the family's 1533-position model. The record is from RNAcentral.